Molecule: long non-coding RNA, 475 nt
Filed under: Bos taurus (domestic cattle)
Lineage: Eukaryota; Metazoa; Chordata; Mammalia; Artiodactyla; Bovidae
Description: long non-coding RNA NONBTAT015876
Source: RNAcentral
AAAUCAGUGCUCUUUAAUGAUAUUUUUUCUAAGAGAAACAUCUUGCUGAAUCAUGUAAAAUAGGAGACUUUUCAUAGUUUUGAAAGUUACACUGCAUCCUUUAUAAGUAGCAAUUAAAAACUUGAACCUUUGAACUUCAGCAGUAAUUCUAAAGGCAAAAAAGUUACUUUAUGAUUAUUGUUUAAUUGGACAAGAAUGCUAAUUAAGUAGAAAAAACUAUAGUUUAUGCAUGCUUUUUCUUUGUUUUUAUUUUCUGAAAAUUCCUCUUAAAGGAACCUUUAUCACUUUUCAUUGCUUUUGCCAUUUCAAAAGAAAUAGUGUUAUACGGCUUAUGUUCACAUCCUUUUAGAGAUUUUUCUACGAAAACUCAUUAAAAAAUAGACAUUAUGAUAGGUUAUUAAAUGCUUUGCUCAUAUCAGUGUACUUAUACAUCGGGUAUAUUGACAUUUCAUUACUCAUAAAGUACAAUCUCUAU